GAUGAACGCUGGCGGCGUGCCUAAUACAUGCAAGUCGAGCGAACGGACGAGAAGCUUGCUUUUCUGAUGUUAGCGGAGCACGGGUGAGUAACACGUGGAAAACCUACCUAUAAGACUGGGAUAACCUCGGGAAACCGGAGCUAAUACCGGAUAAUAUUUUGAACCGCAUGGUUCAAAAGUGAAAGACGGUCUUGCUGUAACUUCUAGAUGGAUCUGCGCUGCAUUAGCUAGUUGUGACGGUAACGGCUUACCAAGGCAACGAUGCAUAGCCGACGGGAGAGAGGGAUAGCCGGCACUGGAGGGGGGACAGGGUCCAGACGCCUGCGGGAGGCAGCAGUAGGGUACCGGCCGCAAUGGGCGAGAGCCUGGCGGAGCAGCGGGGCGUGAGUGAUAGAGGUCUUGGGAGCGUGAAACUCUGUUAUGAGUUAAAAACAGAUGUGUAAGUAGCUGUGCACAGCGUGACGGUAACUAAUCAGAAAGCCACGGCUAACUACGUG
This 497-nucleotide ribosomal RNA is filed under the name uncultured bacterium. RNAcentral's name for it is "partial 16S ribosomal RNA". It matches the Rfam family "Bacterial small subunit ribosomal RNA", at positions 28 to 507 of the family's 1533-position model. The record is from RNAcentral.